Long non-coding RNA from Sceloporus undulatus (fence lizard), 611 nucleotides. RefSeq lists it as uncharacterized. Lineage: Eukaryota; Metazoa; Chordata; Lepidosauria; Squamata; Phrynosomatidae. The transcript has 2 exons. The record is from RefSeq and is a predicted model, not a curated record.
AAAGUGACCACACAUGAGCUAAUUCCAAAAUUAGAUGUAUCAUUCCAUCUUAUUUUGUCUUUUGCCCAUGAGGAACCUAUACUUUGAAAAGCUUGUGGUUGUAACCUACUAAAAUCUUUCUAAUAUAAGGGAGCCUGACAGAAACUUCAUGUCUUGUAACACAGAAGGGAGGAAGCAGAAAUUAGAUGCAUCAUGAUGAGCCCUUGAUGAAAUCUGCUCCAGAAAAGCACCCUGUUAUGCCAGAAGCAUGGUCAUCAUUGGCCAACUCUAUACUACAGAGAAGCUCAUAAUCGAGUACCCACAAAAAGUCUGAUACCGAAUAAAGUCCUCUGCUUGGAGCACUAGUGGACCAGCUUCAGUAUUGUAUGACACACGCACAGAUUUUUACUUGAACAUACUGUUUGAGUUGUCUUCUUUCUCUUCUUAUAGAAUAUAAUUUAGACUUCACAUUGUAGUCUGUCUUUAACAGUGUACAUUGCCUAAAAUAAUAUCAUAAAUGUGCUCUCCAUGUAUCUGUAAGAUGAUAAGUAGGUUUUGCUAUGGCUGAACUUCACUGUUGGCUAGUAUUAUCAAACGAUUAGUUUUUGUGACAAUAAAAUUUCAUAAGCUCA